Long non-coding RNA from Fundulus heteroclitus (mummichog), 1154 nucleotides. RefSeq lists it as uncharacterized. The record is from RefSeq and is a predicted model, not a curated record. The transcript is spliced from 2 exons. Lineage: Eukaryota; Metazoa; Chordata; Actinopteri; Cyprinodontiformes; Fundulidae.
CUGGGCUGGACUAUGGAGACUGGAACCUGGACUGGACUAUGGAGACUGGAACCUGGGCUGGACUAUGGAGACUGGAACCUGGGACCAGAAGCUGGAACUUGUAGCUGGACUUUGGAGUAUAGAACCCUAGGUUGGAGUAUGGAGCAGAGAGGAGUUCUGGUCAACGGUGGCCGAACCGCUGGUACCCACGAGGUAGCUCUGGAGACCUGAGACCAAGGUGGAGCUCUGGAGAACAAUGUCGAGGCCUGGAGAUCCACUGACGCAGCCCUGGAGAGCAGGAAGCCGGUUUGUGUCUCCAUGGAGCUCUGGCAAUGACGGCAGAGGUAGGUUCACCUGGACAGCCAUAUCAGAGAAUUGAGAUGAAUAACACGAAGCAACUUGUUCUGAAACCUUUGGAGAACUGGGAUCAGGAAAAGAAGGCUGGGAUGAAGAUUUAACAUGAGGUACUAAUGGUAGUGACGGAUCUGGAGCCAUUGAUGGCGGUGAUAAAGAUACUGGAUACUCUACAGAUAAAAGAACUAGAUUAGGCAAGACCUAAGUAGAAAAUUAUCACAUGAUUUAUUGGUCUUUCACAAAUGAAACACCAAUAAAUCAUGACACUAAUAGUGGAAUCAGACAUCUGUACAUCUCAUAUAUGAAGCAAGAAGGCUGAAAGGCCUUUCUUACCUUUGCUUGGUGUGUGGGGCAUACAGCUGUCAUGGAGAUCAAUUUUAGUAUCAGAUGUCUGUAAGCCAUACAUCCCAGGUAGUGAGAAUAGUUUGGAAUUUAGUGUCUGUUCAGCACAUGUGGGGCAUACAGAUGUGAGGUUCCUCCAUUGACCUCCAUUGUAAUGAGUCUGGGUUGGUGUUUUUUGCUAUUGCCUGAUAUGUGGAGCUUACUGUUAUCAUGGUUUUUUUAUGCUAGGACAAAAGAUCUGUAUGCCCCACAUGGCAGGCAAAGAGUCAGGGUGAGCUUUCAAUGUUCUUGCCCGACAUGUGGUGCUUACAGAUGUCUGGUUGCUCCAUUUGCCACCAUGAUAUCUUUAUGCUCACAUGCUAGGGAAUGAGCCUGAGUGGGUAUUUCAAGCUGUUCAAAUGUUUUGUGUUCUUGUCUGGUAUGUGUGGGCAGACAGAUGUUAUUGUUACCCAAUAUUCUUUCAAGAUAUUUGUACACCC